CGUACGAUACGAGUUUGAUCUGGCUCAGAUUGAACGCUGGCGGCAUGCCUUACACAUGCAAGUCGAACGGUAACGCGGGGCAACCUGGCGACGAGUGGCGAACGGGUGAGUAAUACAUCGGAACGUGCCCAGUAGUGGGGGAUAGCCCGGCGAAAGCCGGAUUAAUACCGCAUACGACCUACGGGCGAAAGCGGGGGACCGCAAGGCCUCGCGCUAUUGGAGCGGCCGAUGUCAGAUUAGGUAGUUGGUGGGGUAAAGGCCUACCAAGCCUACGAUCUGUAGCUGGUCUGAGAGGACGACCAGCCACACUGGGACUGAGACACGGCCCAGACUCCUACGGGAGGCAGCAGUGGGGAAUUUUGGACAAUGGGCGAAAGCCUGAUCCAGCCAUGCCGCGUGCGGGAAGAAGGCCUUCGGGUUGUAAACCGCUUUUGUCAGGGAAGAAACGUCUUGGGAUAAUACCCCGAGAUAAUGACGGUACCUGAAGAAUAAGCACCGGCUAACUACGUG
RNAcentral lists this ribosomal RNA (510 nucleotides) under uncultured bacterium. RNAcentral describes it as "bacterial SSU rRNA". It matches the Rfam family "Bacterial small subunit ribosomal RNA", at positions 1 to 507 of the family's 1533-position model. The record is from RNAcentral.